Molecule: ribosomal RNA, 433 nt
Filed under: uncultured bacterium
Lineage: Bacteria
Description: partial 16S ribosomal RNA
Rfam family: Bacterial small subunit ribosomal RNA
Source: RNAcentral
AAUGAACGCUGGCGGCAUGCCUAACACAUGCAAGUCGAACGAGACCUUCGGGUCUAGUGGCGUACGGGUGCGUAACGCGUGGGAACCUGCCCUUAGGUUCGGAAUAACUCCCCGAAAGGGGUGCUAAUACCGGAUAAUGUCUUCGGACCAAAGAUUUAUCGCCUUUGGAUGGGCCCGCGUUGGAUUAGCUAGUUGGUAGGGUAAAAGCCUACCAAGGCGACGAUCCAUAGCUGGUCUGAGAGGAUGAUCAGCCACACUGGGACUGAGACACGGCCCAGACUCCUACGGGAGGCAGCAGUGGGGAAUAUUGGACAAUGGGCGAAAGCCUGAUCCAGCAAUGCCGCGUGAGUGAUGAAGGCCUUAGGGUUGUAAAGCUCUUUUACCCGGGAUGAUAAUGACAGUACCGGGAGAAUAAGCUCCGGCUAACUCCGUG